AGGAGUCUAACAUAUAUGCGAGUAUUUGAGUGGUAAAGUCUUAUGCGUAAUGAAGGUGAAAAGGUGGGAUCUGUAAAAAGUGCACCAUCGACCGCGCCGGAUUAUUGCUAUCUCGGCGUGAGGAUGAGCAUAUCUGUUGGGACCCGAAAGAUGGUGAACUAUGCCUGAAUAGGGUGAAGCCAGUGGAAACUCUGGUGGAGGCUCUUAGCGGUUCUGACGUGCAAAUCGAUCGUCUAAUUUAGGUAUAGGGGCGAAAGACUAAUCGAACCAUCUAGUUGCUGGCUCCCUC
RNAcentral lists this unclassified non-coding RNA (289 nucleotides) under uncultured fungus. RNAcentral's name for it is "partial contains 5.8S rRNA, ITS2 and 28S rRNA". It matches the Rfam family "Eukaryotic large subunit ribosomal RNA", at positions 669 to 961 of the family's 3401-position model. The record is from RNAcentral. Lineage: Eukaryota; Fungi.